RNAcentral lists this ribosomal RNA (519 nucleotides) under uncultured Acidobacteriota bacterium. RNAcentral describes it as "bacterial SSU rRNA". It matches the Rfam family "Bacterial small subunit ribosomal RNA", at positions 358 to 867 of the family's 1533-position model. The record is from RNAcentral. Lineage: Bacteria; Pseudomonadati; Acidobacteriota.
GGAAUUGUUCGCAAUGGGCGCAAGCCUGACGACGCAACGCCGCGUGGAGGAUGAAGACCUUCGGGUCGUAAACUCCUUUCGACCGAGAUGAAUACUCACCGACCUAAUACGUUGGUGAGCUGACAGUAUCGAGGGAAGAAGCCCCGGCUAACUCCGUGCCAGCAGCCGCGGUAAUACGGGGGGGGCAAGCGUUGUUCGGAAUUACUGGGCGUAAAGGGUUCGUAGGUGGCCUACUAAGUCAGACGUGAAAUCCCUCAGCUUAACUGGGGAACUGCGUCUGAGACUGGUGGGCUUGAGUGCAGGAGAGGAACGCGGAAUUCCAGGUGUAGCGGUGAAAUGCGUAGAUAUCUGGAGGAACACCGGUGGCGAAGGCGGCGUUCUGGACUGCUACUGACACUGAAGGAACGAAAGCCAGGGGAGCAAACGGGAUUAGAUACCCCGGUAGUCCUGGCCCUAAACGAUGAAUGCUUGGUGUGGCGGGUAUCGAUCCUGCCGUGCCGUAGUUAACGCGUUAAGCUA